GCAACCGCUGGACGCUAGCGGCGGCUUAACACAUGCAAGUCGAGGGGCAGCAUGGUCUUCGGACCGAUGGCGACCGGGGCACGGGUGCGUAACGCGUAUACAAUCUGCCUUUUACAGGGGAAUAGCCCGGGGAAACCCGGAUUAAUGCCCCAUGGUACAUCGGGAUGGCAUCAUCCCUUUGUUAAAGCUUCGGCGGUAAAAGAUGAGUAUGCGUCCUAUUAGCUUGAUGGUAAGGUAACGGCUUACCAUGGCUUUGAUAGGUAGGGGUCCUGAAAGGGAGAUCCCCCACACUGGUACUGAGACACGGACCAAACUCCUACGGGAGGCAGCAGUGAGGAAUAUUGGACAAUGGGCGAGAGCCUGAUCCAGCCAUGCCGCGUGCAGGAAAACUGCCCUAUGGGUUGUAAACUGCUUUUACAGAGGAAAAAACACCCCCUCGUGAGGGGGCUUGACGGUACUCUGCGAAUAAGGAUCGGCUAACUCCGUGCCAGCAGCCGCGGUAAUACGGAGGAUCCAAGCGUUAUCCGGAAUCAUUGGGUUUAAAGGGUCCGUAGGCGGGACAGUAAGUCAGUGGUGAAAGUCUGCACCUCAACUGUAAAACUGCCAUUGAAACUGUUGUCCUUGAGUCAUUAUGAAGUGGUUAAAAUAUGUAGUGUAUCGGUGAAAAUGCAUAGAUAUUACAUAAAAUACCGAUUUGCGAAGGCAGAUCACUAAUAAUGUACUGACGCUGAGGGACAAAAGCGUAGGUAGCACACAGGAUUAAAUACCCUUGGUAUUCUACUCCCCACACGAUGGUUACUAUCUUGUUUGACCGCAAGGUUUGAGUGGCUCAACCA
RNAcentral lists this ribosomal RNA (836 nucleotides) under Salinimicrobium sp. RNAcentral describes it as "bacterial SSU rRNA". It matches the Rfam family "Bacterial small subunit ribosomal RNA", at positions 22 to 854 of the family's 1533-position model. The record is from RNAcentral. Lineage: Bacteria; Pseudomonadati; Bacteroidota; Flavobacteriia; Flavobacteriales; Flavobacteriaceae.